UUGACGGGGCCCGCACAAGCGGAGGAACAUGUGGUUUAAUUCGAUGAUACGCGAGAACCUUACCUGGGCUUAAAUGUAGAGUGCAUUUUUAGAGAUAGAAAUUCCCUUCGGGGCUUUCUGCAAGGUGCUGCAUGGUUGUCGUCAGCUCGUGCCGUGAGGUGUUGGGUUAAGUCCCGUAACGAGCGCAACCCCUGCCUUUAGUUGCGACCGGUAACGCCGAGCACUCUAAAGGGACUGCCUGGGAUAACCAGGAGGAAGGCGGGGAUGACGUCAAGUCAGCAUGGCCCUUACGUCCAGGGCUACACACGUGCUACAAUGGCCGGUACAGAGGGAAGCAAUACCGCGAGGUGGAGCAAAUCCCAUAAAGCCGGCCUCAGUUCAGAUCGGAGGCUGCAACUCGCCUCCGUGAAGGCGGAAUCGCUAGUAAUCGCGGAUCAGCAGGCCGCGGUGAAUACGUUCCCGGGCCUU
This 468-nucleotide ribosomal RNA is filed under the name uncultured Bdellovibrionales bacterium. RNAcentral's name for it is "bacterial SSU rRNA". It matches the Rfam family "Bacterial small subunit ribosomal RNA", at positions 910 to 1382 of the family's 1533-position model. Lineage: Bacteria; Pseudomonadati; Bdellovibrionota; Bdellovibrionia; Bdellovibrionales. The record is from RNAcentral.